This 413-nucleotide ribosomal RNA is filed under the name uncultured bacterium. RNAcentral describes it as "bacterial SSU rRNA". It matches the Rfam family "Bacterial small subunit ribosomal RNA", at positions 505 to 916 of the family's 1533-position model. The record is from RNAcentral.
UUGCCAGCAGCCGCGGACAAAAGGAGGGGGCGAGCGUUGUCCGGAAUCACUGGGCGUAAAGGGCGUGUAGGCGGCCUGUUAAGUCAGGCGUGAAAGCCCUGGGCUUAACCUGGGGACUGCGCUUGAAACUGGCGGGCUUGAGGGCAGGAGAGGAAAGUAGAAUUCCCGGUGCAGCGGUGAUAUGCGUAGAUAUCGGGAGGAACACCAGUGGCGAAGGCGGCUUUCUGGACUGCACCUGACGCUGAGGCGCGAAAGCCAGGGGAGCGAACGGGAUUAGAUACCCCGGUAGUCCUGGCCGUAAACGAUGGGUACUAGGUGUGGGAGGUAUCGACUCCUUCCGUGCCGGAGUUAACACAAUAAGUACCCCGCCUGGGGAGUACGGCCGCAAGGCUGAAACUCAAAGGAAUUGACGG